UUGAAAUCAAUGCAAAUUACAACGAGUAAUCAUUUCCAGCUGUCUAAACAGAAGCCCCAUUUGGCGUCCACAGUAGAGUCCUAAAUCCUAAGAUCAUGUCUUGCUGCAAACGUUUCUGUCGAGUCUGUCGUCGUUGGUACUGCUGCAGUGGAAGCCCGACCUGCUGUUGUGGUGCCUAUCGUGGUCCCUGCUCUGGACCGUGCGGUGGCCCCUGUCAUGGUGACAGCUGUGGACCCUGCUGCGGCAACUGUUCCUGCUCCUGUGUGAUGUGCUCUAGUGGCAUCGGAACAUGCGGUCAGCCCCGUGGCAGAUCCUGCUUGCCCCGAAGGUGCUGAACUUGAUGGAUUAGUGGCGUUUGGAUUUUACUGUGUGUGAUAAUUGGGAUACUACAAAAUUGUGUUGUAUGUGAAAUGAA
This is a long non-coding RNA of Drosophila guanche, 415 nucleotides long. RefSeq lists it as uncharacterized. The record is from RefSeq and is a predicted model, not a curated record. Lineage: Eukaryota; Metazoa; Arthropoda; Insecta; Diptera; Drosophilidae. The transcript has 2 exons.